ACCAGCUCUUCAAGUGGUCGGGAUAAUUAUUGGGCUUAAAAUGUCCGUAGCCGGAUUGGAAAGUUCCUGGUAAAAUCGGGUAGCUUAACUAUCUGCAUGCUAGGAAUACUAUCAUUCUAGAGGGCGGGAAAGGUCUGAGGUACUACAUGGGUAGGGGUGAAAUCUUAUAAUCCUUGUAGGACCACCAGUGGCGAAGGCGUCAGACUGGAACGCGCCUGACGGUGAGGGACGAAAGCCAGGGGAGCGAACCGGAUUAGAUACCCGGGUAGUCCUGGCCGUAAACGAUGCAUACUAGGUGAUGGCAUGGCCAUGAGCCAUGUCAGUGCCGUAGGGAACCGUUAAGUGUGCCGCCCGGGAAGUAUGGUCGCAAGGCUAAAACUUAAGGAAUUGGCGGGGGAGCACCACAAGGGGUGAAGCCUGCGGUUC
This 426-nucleotide ribosomal RNA is filed under the name uncultured archaeon. RNAcentral describes it as "bacterial SSU rRNA". It matches the Rfam family "Archaeal small subunit ribosomal RNA", at positions 475 to 903 of the family's 1478-position model. The record is from RNAcentral.